GAGGGGGAUAAUCCCGGGAAACUGGGAAUAAUACCCCAUAGGUCUCGACUGCUGGAAUGCUUUGAGGCUGAAAGCUACGGCGCCUGAGGAUGGCUCUGCGGCCUAUCAGGUAGUAGUGAGGGUAACGUCCUCACUAGCCGAUGACGGGUACGGGCCCUGAGAGGGGGAGCCCGGAGAUGGACUCUGAGACACGAGUCCAGGCCCUACGGGGCGCAGCAGGCGCGAAACCUCCGCAAUGCUCGAGAGAGUGACGGGGAGAUUCCAAGUGCCUACGCACAGCGUAGGCUGUUCAGAUGCCUACAACGCAUCUGGAGGAAGGACUGGGUAAGACGGGUGCCAGCCGCCGCGGUAACACCCGCAGUUCAAGUGGCAGUCGAUUUUAUUGGGCCUAAAGCGUCCGUAGCCGGUCUGGCAAAUGCCUGGGUAAAUCGUCUGGCUCAACCAGACGAAUUCCGGGUAGACUGCCAGACUUGGGACCGGUUGAGGGAGAGGGUACUCCAGGGGUAGGAGUGAAAUCUUGGAAAUCCUUGGAGGACCACCAGUGGCGAAAGCGCUCUCCCAGGACGGGUCCGACGGUGAGGGACGAAAGCCAAGGGUAGCCGAA
This 604-nucleotide ribosomal RNA is filed under the name uncultured archaeon. Its description in RNAcentral is "bacterial SSU rRNA". It matches the Rfam family "Archaeal small subunit ribosomal RNA", at positions 119 to 728 of the family's 1478-position model. The record is from RNAcentral.